Molecule: long non-coding RNA, 665 nt
Organism: Odontomachus brunneus
Lineage: Eukaryota; Metazoa; Arthropoda; Insecta; Hymenoptera; Formicidae
Exons: 2
Source: RefSeq, a predicted model, not a curated record
GUUACUAUUACGGAAAGUGUGUGUGGCCAGCUUCACUCUCUGUCAGCUGUUGUUUACUUGAAAAACAAAUCCUCUGAUUGGCCCAUCGGCUGCAUUCCGAUAUACGACAGCGACAUACGACGUAUUGUAGAACAGGCUGUAGAGAGUUGACAGCGGGUCGUAGUCAUGAGCGGACGUGUUACGAUUGUAUUGAGACUGAGGCUGUAAACUCGUAUUUCGCUCACUGCGGAAACCCAUUAGUGACGUCUCGACAGCGAAAUUAUUCAGCUUACGAAGAUCCACUCACUUGAACGAUAAAUGCAGCCAAUCGAGGUUCGCGCCGGUCUCAAGUGUCAGCGCCACAAACGCGAACUAACCUAUUCAAAGAAAAAAAUUUUGCUCGUCGCAGUGAACAUAUGAGUGAGUCGCCUUAUUAAUGCACGAUGGAAUGUAAUAUACUAUUUUAAUAUUGCAAGUCUGAAAAUAUGUGAUCAUCUUGAUUUUUAAAUUGAUUUUAUCAUUAUACAAAACGUAAUCUUAUCGGUAAUGACCCUGAUCGAAUGACUCUUAUCUUAUCAAUAAUAGUAACAUAUAAUAAGAAAUAUAAGUAUAUAAUAAGAAAUAUAAGAAAAGAGAGACACCUAUGUCAUUAUGUUAGUGCAUAUUAAACAUAAUUUUGAUAUUUA